AUGCUGGAGGUAUCAGAAGUGCGAAUGCUGACAUAAGUAACGAUAAAGCGGGUGAAAAGCCCGCUCGCCGGAAGACCAAGGGUUCCUGUCCAACGUUAAUCGGGGCAGGGUGAGUCGACCCCUAAGGCGAGGCCGAAAGGCGUAGUCGAUGGGAAACAGGUUAAUAUUCCUGUACUUGGUGUUACUGCGAAGGGGGGACGGAGAAGGCUAUGUUGGCCGGGCGACGGUUGUCCCGGUUUAAGCGUGUAGGCUGGUUUUCCAGGCAAAUCCGGAAAAUCAAGGCUGAGGCGUGAUGACGAGGCACUACGGUGCUGAAGCAACAAAUGCCCUGCUUCCAGGAAAAGCCUCUAAGCAUCAGGUAACAUCAAAUCGUACCCCAAACCGACACAGGUGGUCAGGUAGAGAAUACCAAGGCGCUUGAGAGAACUCGGGUGAAGGAACUAGGCAAAAUGGUGCCGUAACUUCGGGAGAAGGCACGCUGAUAUGUAGGUGAAGUCCCUCGCGGAUGGAGCUGAAAUCAGUCGAAGAUACCAGCUGGCUGCAACUGUUUAUUAAAAACACAGCACUGUGCAAACACGAAAGUGGACGUAUACGGUGUGACGCCUGCCCGGUGCCGGAAGGUUAAUUGAUGGGGUUAGC
This 639-nucleotide ribosomal RNA is filed under the name Escherichia coli. Its description in RNAcentral is "partial 23S ribosomal RNA". It matches the Rfam family "Bacterial large subunit ribosomal RNA", at positions 1270 to 1894 of the family's 2925-position model. The record is from RNAcentral. RNAcentral also lists the same sequence under 1 other name. Lineage: Bacteria; Pseudomonadati; Pseudomonadota; Gammaproteobacteria; Enterobacterales; Enterobacteriaceae.